Molecule: long non-coding RNA, 1306 nt
Filed under: Takifugu rubripes (torafugu)
Lineage: Eukaryota; Metazoa; Chordata; Actinopteri; Tetraodontiformes; Tetraodontidae
Description: lncRNA (ENSTRUG00000031487.1)
Source: RNAcentral
GUGGUUCAGAAGAAAAGAGAAAAGAGUUGGUGGCCUCAAGUAAGAAAUUUAGGGGCCUGCGUUGUCUUCCGGUGUCCGAGGUGUGUAACUGAAGAAGCUUAAAUCCCCUGGAGACCUGGAGGCCCUCCUGGAGAAAAACAUUCUUAACAUGAGUUAUAUCGCCUGAACCUGUUGUUUGGUAGAGUUCCCGUGUAGGGACUUAUCCCCAUGGGAGCUACAUCACCACCAGUUGGUCCACCGGGGCAGUCGUCAAUAUCAGACUUUUCGGCGCCAAUCAACUUUCUUUUUUUUUUUUCCUUCUCGCCAAGCAUUGUAAAGCGAAUAUAUACAUGAUCAUCUCACAGUCAUUAGCUCAGUCCUCCAGAACUUCAUCGGAAGCUUCACCGUCUGCGAGCGCGUGUAACAAACAAAGAUGGCUGCAAAGAUGACUACCGGUAAGCCUCAAAUUCUUCCCAAACUUUUCCUCUGUAGUUUUCUAAAUAGUUUUAGAAAACUAUUAAUGAAUGAACUAUUAAUGAUUAACUACUAUUUACGAAUAACUGUGUUUUAGAAGUUACAGUAGAGGUUCACCAUAUGCCAAUUUAUCCUGGUAAGCAAUCCGUGAUCUUUUUAACCUGAAAGUUGUUCUAUUUUUAUUCUAGAUUUUUAAGUGUAACUUUCUGUAUCUUUAAAGUCAGCGCCGAUGAGUUUGAAGGAAUAACCCUCACGCAAACAGACAUUGAUCUGUUAGCCAGGGCUGAAAGAUUGGUAUCCGAAGACAACCAAGAAACUGAAAAAGCAGUAAAAGCAUUGCUGUGUUCUGAAACCCCACCCCCCGUGCAGGGGACAAAUUGCUGUGUAACUGAAAUUGGUGAAAUUGAGAUUGAGAGCAGACCCUCGGCACUUCAACAUGGGACUGACUCAAGUAAGCAGACGAACAAACUCUCCAGAAGACGUGUGAGACAGCCAGGAGGACCGAAGUCGACUGUACAAGGUAAUAUAUUUAUCUGUGAUUAGAAGUAUAUACAAAAUAUGUGCCGUUUUGAUGAUUUGUAUUUUAACGAUUUUCCCCUCUGUCUAAACAGAACCAUCAAAACAGAACCUUCAAACGUGCGCCUCUCUGAGCACUGUGACUCCCACGGCAGCUCCACUCUCCCGUGAACCUUCUGCCCCUGCGAGGAGACGUAGAAUACGGCAAGCGUGUACCACUCUGACCCCUGUACUUACAGCGGGACCCACGGCAGCUCCACUCUCGCUUUCACCAGAUCCUUUCGAACCUGCGAGGCCGAUAAGGAGACGUAGGAACCAGAGACACAAGUCUAACAUU